Molecule: ribosomal RNA, 774 nt
Filed under: uncultured Neocallimastigales
Lineage: Eukaryota; Fungi; Neocallimastigomycota; Neocallimastigomycetes; Neocallimastigales
Description: partial large subunit ribosomal RNA
Rfam family: Eukaryotic large subunit ribosomal RNA
Source: RNAcentral
AGAGAGAGACAUGCGCGCAUAUCAAUAAGCGGAGGAAAAGAAACUAACAAGGAUUCCCUUAGUAACGGCGAGUGAAGCGGGAAGAGCUCAAAUUUGAAAUCUUCAAGGUUUUACCUUGACGAAUUGUAGUUUAAAGAAGUGUUUUCUGCUGAAGUUUUGGUAAAAGUUCUUUGGAAUAGGACAUCAUAGAGGGUGAGAAUCCCGUAUUUGAUCAUUAUUUUCAGCUUUGUGAUACACUUUCAAAGAGUCGGAUUGUUUGGGAAUGCAGUCCAAAAUGGGUGGUAAAUUUCAUCUAAAGCUAAAUAUUGGCGAGAGACCGAUAGCGAACAAGUACCGUGAGGGAAAGAUGAAAAGAACUUUGAAAAGAGAGUUAAACAGUACGUGAAAUUGUCAAAAGGGAAGCGUUUGACACCAGUGUCGUUUUCUCGAAAAUCAAUUAAAAAUGGCUCGAUUUUGUAUUGUUGAGACCUUAAAAGCUCACUGUACAUUUUUCGUGUCUUUUUUAAUGCACUUUUCGUUUAACAAGUCAACAUCAGUUUCUUUUGUUGUAAAAGGGUCAUUGGAAGGUGGCUUUCCUUUUCGGAGAAAGUGUUUAUAGCCUUUGGCCUCUGCAAUCGGAGAGACUGAGGUCUGCAGCGUAGACUCUUCGGGGUUAGAUACAUUUGUGCUAAGUUAUAGCUUUUUAUAGACAACUUGUUGACUAUAAUUAGUCUUGUAGCUUACUCGCUUAUGCUAUUUUACCUACGCUUAGGAUGUUGAAGAUGUAGCACAUCA